Small nuclear RNA from Panthera leo (lion), 107 nucleotides. Lineage: Eukaryota; Metazoa; Chordata; Mammalia; Carnivora; Felidae. The record is from Ensembl.
AUAUUCACUUUGGAAGCACAUAUACUAAAAUUGGAAAAAUAAAGAGAAGACUAGCAUGGCCCCUGCACAAACAUAACACGCAAAUUCGUGAAGCAUUGCGUAUUUUU